RNAcentral lists this ribosomal RNA (490 nucleotides) under uncultured bacterium. RNAcentral describes it as "bacterial SSU rRNA". It matches the Rfam family "Bacterial small subunit ribosomal RNA", at positions 28 to 530 of the family's 1533-position model. The record is from RNAcentral.
GACGAACGCUGGCGGCGUGCUUAACACAUGCAAGUCGAACGGUGACGAGGAGCUUGCUCCUCUGAUCAGUGGCGAACGGGUGAGUAACACGUGAGCAACCUGCCCCAGACUCUGGGAUAACAGUUGGAAACAGCUGCUAAUACCGGAUACGAGACGGAGAGGCAUCUCUACCGUCUGGAAAGUUUUUCGGUCUGGGAUGGACUCGCGGCCUAUCAGCUAGUUGGUGAGGUAAUGGCUCACCAAGGCGACGACGGGUAGCCGGCCUGAGAGGGCGACCGGCCACGACUGGGACUGAGACACGGCCCAGACUCCUACGGGAGGCAGCAGUGGGGAAUAUUGCACAAUGGGCGAAAGCCUGAUGCAGCGACGCCGCGUGAGGGAUGACGGCCUCGGUUGUAACGUCUUCUAGCAGGAGGAAGACGAAGUAGACGUACGUCGCGAGAGAAGACGACGGCAACUAACGUCGCGACGCAGCCGCGUAAUCACGACG